Molecule: ribosomal RNA, 506 nt
Filed under: uncultured Glomeromycotina
Lineage: Eukaryota; Fungi; Glomeromycota
Description: partial small subunit ribosomal RNA
Rfam family: Eukaryotic small subunit ribosomal RNA
Source: RNAcentral
CCAAUAGCGUAUAUUAAAGUUGUUGCAGUUAAAAAGCUCGUAGUUGAAUUUCGGGAUUGACGUGACGGUCGUGCCUUACGGGGUAUGAACUGUCGCCGUUGAUUUCUCACCUUCUGGAGAAGCUCGAUGUCCUUAAUUGGGUGUCUUGCGGAACCAGGACCUUUACCUUGAAAAAAUUAGAGUGUUUAAAGCAGGCAUUUUGCUCGAAUACAUUAGCAUGGAAUAAUAGAAUAGGACGGCAUGGUUCUAUUUUGUUGGUUUCUAGGAUCACCGUAAUGAUUAAUAUGGAUAGUUGGGGGCAUUAGUAUUCAAUUGUCAGAGGUGAAAUUCUUGGAUUUAUUGAAGACUAACUACUGCGAAAGCAUUUGCCAAGGAUGUUUUCAUUAAUCAAGAACGAAAGUUAGGGUAUCGAAGACGAUCAGAUACCGUCGUAGUCUUAACCAUAAACUAUGCCGACUAGGAAUCAGACGAUGUUAAUUUUUUAAUGACUCGUUUGGCACCUUACG